UUUUAAAACUAUUUCCUUGUCCCUCAAACGUAGCACCAUCUGUCAUAGGUCAUCCCUGACAUUGUAUAAACUCCCCAAGAUCUAUUGAAUAGUCUUGUAACCGGGCCAAUUUAACUAUUCUUACAACUUCAUGACGAGCAGUUACUGUAACUCAUUGCAGUUCCAUUAACAAUUCAAAUAUUCUCAGUACGUUCAGUCCAAAUAUGAGCAUAUUUCAUGAUUUUGGAAGCAUUCAGGCAUGUCAAGUUUGCUCAGAAUGUCAUAACAAAUAACAAACAAUAAAGUAAAUUUGUAAUACA
Long non-coding RNA from Anopheles coluzzii, 299 nucleotides. RefSeq lists it as uncharacterized. NCBI's taxonomy places the organism in Eukaryota, Metazoa, Arthropoda, Insecta, Diptera, Culicidae. The transcript has 2 exons. The record is from RefSeq and is a predicted model, not a curated record.